Molecule: ribosomal RNA, 468 nt
Filed under: uncultured bacterium
Lineage: Bacteria
Description: partial 16S ribosomal RNA
Rfam family: Bacterial small subunit ribosomal RNA
Source: RNAcentral
GAUGAACGCUGGCGGCGUGCUUAACACAUGCAAGUCGAACGGUGAAGGCGGAGCUUGCUCUGCUGGAUCAGUGGCGAACGGGUGAGUAACACGUGAGCAAUCUGCCCCUGACUCUGGGAUAAGCGCUGGAAACGGCGUCUAAUACUGGAUACGAGCUGCGAGGGCAUCUUCAGCAGCUGGAAAGAAUUUCGGUCAGGGAUGAGCUCGCGGCCUAUCAGCUUGUUGGUGAGGUAAUGGCUCACCAAGGCGUCGACGGGUAGCCGGCCUGAGAGGGUGACCGGCCACACUGGGACUGAGACACGGCCCAGACUCCUACGGGAGGCAGCAGUGGGGAAUAUUGCACAAUGGGCGAAAGCCUGAUGCAGCAACGCCGCGUGAGGGACGACGGCCUUCGGGUUGUAAACCUCUUUUAGCAGGGAAGAAGCGAAAGUGACGGUACCUGCAGAAAAAGCGCCGGCUAACUACGUG